UUUCCGUAGGUGAACCUGCGGAAGGAUCAUUAUUGUAUAACCGAGGUGCGAGGGCUGUCGCUGACCCGCGAUGUCGUGCACGCCCGAGUGCCCUCACACACAUCCAUCUCACCCCUAUGUGCACCACCGCGUGGGUCCCCCUUUGGCUUGUUCGGAGGGGGGCUUACGUUUUCACAGAAACUUUGUAUGCAGUGUAGAAUGUAUUUUUUGUUUUUGCGAUCACGCAAUCAAUACAACUUUCAACAACGGAUCUCUUGGCUCUC
Molecule: unclassified non-coding RNA, 263 nt
Filed under: plant metagenome
Description: partial contains small subunit ribosomal RNA, internal transcribed spacer 1, and 5.8S ribosomal RNA
Source: RNAcentral